ACCGACGUGACGAGGUGAGUCCUGCCG
This 27-nucleotide small RNA is filed under the name Bombyx mori (domestic silkworm). Its description in RNAcentral is "ovarian small RNA-11298". Lineage: Eukaryota; Metazoa; Arthropoda; Insecta; Lepidoptera; Bombycidae. The record is from RNAcentral.